This 445-nucleotide ribosomal RNA is filed under the name uncultured bacterium. RNAcentral's name for it is "bacterial SSU rRNA". It matches the Rfam family "Bacterial small subunit ribosomal RNA", at positions 331 to 793 of the family's 1533-position model. The record is from RNAcentral.
CCAGACUCCUACGGGAGGCAGUAGUGGGGGAUAUUGCACAAUGGGGGAAACCCUGAUGCAGCGAUGCCGCGUGAAUGAAGACGGCCUUCGGGUUGUAAAGUUCUGUCGCAGGGGACGAAAAUGACGGUACCCUGCAAGAAAGCUCCGGCUAACUACGUGCCAGCAGCCGCGGUAAUACGUAGGGGGCAAGCGUUAUCCGGAAUUACUGGGUGUAAAGGGAGCGUAGACGGUGAAGUAAGUCUGGAGUGAAAGGCGGGGGCCCAACCCCCGGACUGCUCUGGAAACUAUUUGACUGGAGUGCAGGAGAGGUAAGCGGAAUUCCUAGUGUAGCGGUGAAAUGCGUAGAUAUUAGGAGGAACACCAGUGGCGAAGGCGGCUUACUGGACUGUAACUGACGUUGAGGCUCGAAAGCGUGGGGAGCAAACAGGAUUAGAUACCCUGGUAG